RNAcentral lists this non-coding RNA (31 nucleotides) under Homo sapiens (human). Lineage: Eukaryota; Metazoa; Chordata; Mammalia; Primates; Hominidae. The record is from RNAcentral.
AGGUGCAGCUAACCCUCUGUUGGAGCUUAUG